ACCCGCUGAACUUAAGCAUAUCAAUAAGCGGAGGAAAAGAAACCAACAGGGAUUGCCCUAGUAACGGCGAGUGAAGCGGCAACAGCUCAAAUUUGAAAUCUGGCUCUUUUAGAGUCCGAGUUGUAAUUUGCAGAGGGCGCUUUGGCUUUGGCAGCGGUCCAAGUUCCUUGGAACAGGACGUCACAGAGGGUGAGAAUCCCGUACGUGGUCGCUGGCUAUUCCCGUGUAAAGCCCCUUCGACGAGUCGAGUUGUUUGGGAAUGCAGCUCUAAAUGGGAGGUACAUUUCUUCUAAGCUAAAUAUUGGCCAGAGACCGAUAGCGCACAAGUAGAGUGAUCGAAAGAUGAAAAGCACUUUGGAAAGAGAGUCAAACAGCACGUGAAAUUGUUGAAAGGGAAGCGCUUGCAGCCAGACUUGCUUACAGUUGCUCAUCCGGGCUUUUGCCCGGUGCACUCUUCUGUAGGCAGGCCAGCAUCAGUUUGGGCGGUAGGAUAAAGGUCUCUGUCACGUACCUCCCUUCGGGGAGGCCUUAUAGGGGAGACGACAUACUACCAGCCUGGACUGAGGUCCGCGCAUCUGCUAGGAUGCUGGCGUAAUGGCUGU
RNAcentral lists this ribosomal RNA (602 nucleotides) under uncultured fungus. RNAcentral's name for it is "eukaryotic LSU rRNA". It matches the Rfam family "Eukaryotic large subunit ribosomal RNA", at positions 23 to 641 of the family's 3401-position model. The record is from RNAcentral. Lineage: Eukaryota; Fungi.